This is a long non-coding RNA of Pseudophryne corroboree (corroboree frog), 1503 nucleotides long. RefSeq lists it as uncharacterized. The record is from RefSeq and is a predicted model, not a curated record. The transcript has 4 exons. NCBI's taxonomy places the organism in Eukaryota, Metazoa, Chordata, Amphibia, Anura, Myobatrachidae.
CUCCCACAGCCCGGGGAUCUCCUGGUUUAUCUAAUCUCCGGAAUACGGCUACAGUAGAGCAAAGUUUGUUAAUCGCUGAAACACUGUCUGCACUUGUGAGGGAGCUUGCCCCGUGGAGGGCCGGGUAGAUUACUCAGCGGCAACGCGCCGGCACCAUGGCAACCUGACUGCGACGCUGUAGUGUGAUUGCCUAGGUAACCAGGACGGAAGCCGGCUGACGUCACCAGAAGUGACGCUCCGCCAUCAGUUGCAGACGGAAGCGCCCGCCGGGCCCGGCUCUCCCGCGGCAAGAUGACUCCCACCUAUUUAGAAUGUGUGCAUGUCCACAGCCGUCGCGGGAUGACGUCCGGGUGCGGGAUGACGUCACUUCCGGGUCAGACAGGGAGACGCGACCGGAAGUGCGGGACCCGUGGCUCCGGCCGGCGUCGCCGCGGCGAGGGUUGGCGCUUCUAGACAUGCCAGCAAACAGGAAACGAUGUUCUCCAGAAUGGAUCCCCUCCCAUCUCUCUGCCCUUCCACACGCUCCCUGACGCCCCCUGACAUGCAGCUGUAAUAAGAUGAGCUGAAGCAAAGUAAGGGAACGUAAUAUUUCCAGAGUUCUUUACAUCCUGAGGGAAUUCAACUGCUGUGGAACUACAAGUGUCGCCAUGCCGGAACCUAGAUGCACAACAGACGGAGAACCACAGGCCUGCUCUACCUGUUCAGUUAUUCUCCCGGUGUAUGAACCCCAACAUAAAAUAAUGUAAAUGGCAAUUUACUACAGUAGUUGAAAAAAUGGCUUUGGGGGAGAGGUAUCAAGCCUUCUAGAAUCUGAUUAGUUGCUGGGGCAACACCUACACUCUGCCUUUUCACAAGUUUUAAUAACUGUACCCCAGUCUACCCUAUCUACUUAUUUGUACUGGUCAUGAUCGGGAUGCAUGACGCAUUGCAUUUAGCAUGCGCUGCACCCCGACAGUCAUCGCAAGCAUAACGGUGUUCAUAAACCCGAAUGCUUGAAGAAGCCGCAAAGGACUGUUCUCCCGGUAAGAGCUGUCCUUUGCAAUAGAAAUACUUCCAGGUUUAGGACUUGGGAGUCCUCCUGCGCUAGUGUCGAGAGAUGCACAGGCUGCGGUGAGUGCUGAGAGGGAUCCGAUUGGAUCCCUCUCAGGAAGUAAAAGCAAAAAGAAGCCCAACCUAUCCCAACUGGCAUUUUCUGAGGUUUGGCCGCAGUUUUACCUUUGCUGCAUCCCGCCCACAGUGCGAAGCUAUUCUGCACGGGAAUUAUAUUGUUAUGCUGUGUCUCAUCCCUAGUGUCAGGACAAAGUGCAAUUUCUGAAACUAUAAGAGGCUGCAUGGUGUGCCCCAGCUUUAAUUAGUUUAUAACAUCUGCCAUAAAAUAGUACCAUAUUUUAAUUUGCAUUCUUUCAGUGGCCUCUCCCUUCUUGGGCCCCUGCUUUAGAGAGAGACGAAAAAUGCCCUCUUGACUUUUGCUACAUGCUAAUAAUCUAUUUAAAAUAGUGAAAU